ACGAUGAUGCCAGGAGGAAAGAGCUCAUAGGGGUGGGGAUUAAAUGCUCUGGCUCGGAAGCCACGUCAUCAUGUUCUCUCACAACUCAUUGGCCAGCACUAGUCAUGUGGCACACAAAACGCAAGACCGGGAUGUGUCAUACUUUCAACUCCCAGAGAGUGAGGAAAGCCAGAAAAAUUCGGUGAAGGCAAAGGUAGCCAUGUCCUAAACAGUCUGUGGAAUAAUUUUGUUUAUGAACUAGAAAGUUCAUAGGAAGUGAAGGAAGUGAAGGAACAUUUAAGAAUUCAAGAUUUGAAGGUGUGCUAUAGAAACUCAACAUGAAAUAUGUAUAUAAAACAUGGUCAAAUAGGAAAUGACAAGCCUAGAAUGCUCUGAAAGGUUAUCUGGAAAAACGACAAAGGGCUUCAGAUAAGCUGUUUAGAGGAAGAUGAGAAUUUGCAUUUUAUGGCAACACAGCAUCUCAUAAGUUACUCAUUCUCAUCGUUGCUUGCCUGGACCGAUGUAAUGGCCUCCUGUUUUCUCUUCCAAUAUGU
Long non-coding RNA from Hyaena hyaena (striped hyena), 533 nucleotides. RefSeq lists it as uncharacterized. The transcript is spliced from 3 exons. The record is from RefSeq and is a predicted model, not a curated record. NCBI's taxonomy places the organism in Eukaryota, Metazoa, Chordata, Mammalia, Carnivora, Hyaenidae.